UAUGUUUAAGUGUUAAUGCACAAAGAAUUUUGAUUUCUUUAGUUAUAGAAUUUUCUAUAAGACAUAG
This 67-nucleotide transfer RNA is filed under the name Alloeorhynchus bakeri. RNAcentral's name for it is "tRNA-Gln". Lineage: Eukaryota; Metazoa; Arthropoda; Insecta; Hemiptera; Nabidae. The record is from RNAcentral.